GACGAACGCUGGCGGCGUGCUUAACACAUGCAAGUCGAACGGAAAGGCCCUGCUUUUGUGGGGUGCUCGAGUGGCGAACGGGUGAGUAACACGUGAGUAACCUGCCCUUGACUUUGGGAUAACUUCAGGAAACUGGGGCUAAUACCGGAUAGGAGCUCCUGCUGCAUGGUGGGGGUUGGAAAGUUUCGGCGGUUGGGGAUGGACUCGCGGCUUAUCAGCUUGUUGGUGGGGUAGUGGCUUACCAAGGCUUUGACGGGUAGCCGGCCUGAGAGGGUGACCGGCCACAUUGGGACUGAGAUACGGCCCAGACUCCUACGGGGGGCAGCAGUGGGGAAUAUUGCACAAUGGGCGGAAGCCUGAUGCAGCAACGCCGCGUGCGGGAUGAGGGCCUUCGGGUUGUAAACCGCUUUCGCCUGUGACGAAGCGUGAGUGGCGGUAAUGGGUAAAGAAGCACCGGCUAACUACGUG
This 468-nucleotide ribosomal RNA is filed under the name uncultured bacterium. RNAcentral's name for it is "partial 16S ribosomal RNA". It matches the Rfam family "Bacterial small subunit ribosomal RNA", at positions 28 to 507 of the family's 1533-position model. The record is from RNAcentral.